CGAAGGGCGUAGCGUUGCUCGGAAUCACUGGGCGUAAAGGGCGCGUAGGCGGCCAUUCAAGUCGGGGUGAAAGCCUGUGGCUCAACCACAGAAUUGCCUUCGAUACUGUUUGGCUUGAGUUUGGUAGAGGUUGGUGGAACUGCGAGUGUAGAGGUGAAAUUCGUAGAUAUUCGCAAGAACACCAGUGGCGAAGGCGGCCAACUGGACCAAUACUGACGCUGAGGCGCGAAAAGCGUGGGAGCAAACAGGAUU
This 252-nucleotide ribosomal RNA is filed under the name uncultured bacterium. RNAcentral's name for it is "partial 16S ribosomal RNA". It matches the Rfam family "Bacterial small subunit ribosomal RNA", at positions 526 to 779 of the family's 1533-position model. The record is from RNAcentral.